RNAcentral lists this long non-coding RNA (325 nucleotides) under Lathyrus oleraceus (garden pea). Its description in RNAcentral is "Pisum sativum (pea) long non-coding RNA (PSAT_LNC000594)". The record is from RNAcentral. Lineage: Eukaryota; Viridiplantae; Streptophyta; Magnoliopsida; Fabales; Fabaceae.
AAAAACGUGAGAGAGAUUCAGAGAGGUUAUUGUUUUGUUCGUUUGUGAGGUAGUUAGGGAGUGAGGAGAGAGUGGAGUGUGGUGAGUUUUUUUAUGAGUGGACAGAGAGUGACGCGUGUGAGAGGAUAAGAAGAAAGAUUUUUUUUCAAUUUUGUUUUCUUUUUUCAGAGAGAUAAUGGGAAGAGAGAUUUUUGAGGGAGUGUGAGAUAUUUGUGAGAUAACAGCUGGCAGACCGUUGGGAGAGUUUUUUUUAUUUAUUCUUUUUUUGUUUUUUAUGUAAGGAGGGAAUCCAAUGCAAAUAUAUACAUAUUUAUUUUAAUACAUU